Molecule: small nucleolar RNA, 132 nt
Organism: Takifugu rubripes (torafugu)
Lineage: Eukaryota; Metazoa; Chordata; Actinopteri; Tetraodontiformes; Tetraodontidae
Product: small nucleolar RNA SNORA3/SNORA45 family
Source: Ensembl
AGCGAGGCUAGAGUCACGCCUGGACACGCUCCAUUGUCCUGGUGUGCUAGAGCGCUCGCAGAGGAAACCUCUUUGCUUAUUCAUUGGCUGUAGUCUGUUGUGGCCCAGUCAACCACCAGCUCAGAAACACUU